UCCCUGGUGGUCUAGUGGUUAGGACUCUGCAAUUCCACUGCAGGGGAAAGGGGUUCGAUCCCUGGUCAGAGAA
Molecule: transfer RNA, 73 nt
Filed under: Capra hircus (goat)
Lineage: Eukaryota; Metazoa; Chordata; Mammalia; Artiodactyla; Bovidae
Also listed under: 1 other name
Rfam family: tRNA
About the family: Transfer RNA (tRNA) molecules are approximately 80 nucleotides in length.
Source: Rfam by way of RNAcentral